Molecule: small nucleolar RNA, 77 nt
Organism: Nycticebus coucang (slow loris)
Lineage: Eukaryota; Metazoa; Chordata; Mammalia; Primates; Lorisidae
Product: small nucleolar RNA SNORD81
Exons: 1
Source: RefSeq, a predicted model, not a curated record
UCUGAUACAUGAUGAUCUCAUGGCAACUUGAGCUCUCUCACUGAAUACAUUAUUACAACAAAAGAUUCUGUGUAAAA